GAACGCGAAGAACCUUACCCGGGCUUGAACUAAGCAGGAAGAUGGGCAGAGACGCCCGUUGUCUUCGGACCUGCUUGGAGGUGCUGCAUGGUUGUCGUCAGCUCGUGCCGCGAGGUGUCGGCUUAAGUGCCAUAACGAGCGCAACCCUUCUCCACGUUUGCCAUCAGGUUUAGCUGGGCACUCCGUGGAUACUGCCAUCGUAAGAUGUGAGGAAGGUGGGGAUGACGUCAAAUCAGCACGGCCCUUACGUCCGGGGCUACACACGUGUUACAAUGGCCGGUACAGAGGGAAGCCACCAGGCGACUGGGCGCUGAUCCAUGAAAACCGGUCUCAGUUCGGACUGGAGUCUGCAACCCGACUCCACGAAGCUGGAUUCGCUAGUAAUCGCGCAUCAGCCAUGGCGCGGUGAAUACGUUCCCGGGUCUUGUACACACC
This 435-nucleotide ribosomal RNA is filed under the name uncultured bacterium. RNAcentral describes it as "bacterial SSU rRNA". It matches the Rfam family "Bacterial small subunit ribosomal RNA", at positions 957 to 1391 of the family's 1533-position model. The record is from RNAcentral.